UCUCGUUGAGGGGGGGUAGAAUUCCAGGUGUAGCGGUGAAAUUGCGUAGAGAUCUGGAGGAAUACCGGUGGCGAAGGCGGCUCCCUGGACGAAGACUGACGUUCAGGUGCGAAAGCGUGGGAGCAAACAGGAUUAGAUACCCUGGUAGUCCACGCCGUAAACGAUGUCGACUUGGAGGUUGUGCCCUUGAGGCGUGGCUUCCGGAGCUAACGCGUUAAGUCGACCGCCUGGGGAGUACGGCCGCAAGGUUAAAACUCAAAUGAAUUGACGGGGGCCCGCACAAGCGGUGGAGCAUGUGGUUUAAUUCGAUGCAACGCGAAGAACCUUACCUGGUCUUGACAUCCACGGAAGUUUUCAGAGAUGAGAAUGUGCCUUCGGGAACCGUGAGACAGGUGCUGCAUGGCUGUCGUCAGCUCGUGUUGUGAAAUGUUGGGUUAAGUCCCGCAACGAGCGCAACCCUUAUCCUUUGUUGCCAGCGGUCCGGCCGGGAACUCAAAGGAGACUGCCAGUGAUAAACUGGAGGAAGGUGGGGAUGACGUCAAGUCAUCAUGGCCCUUACGACCAGGGCUACACACGUGCUACAAUGGCGCAUACAAAGAGAAGCGACCUCGCGAGAGCAAGCGGACCUCAUAAAGUGCGUCGUAGUCCGGAUUGGAGUCUGCAACUCGACUCCAUGAAGUCGGAAUCGCUAGUAAUCGUGGAUCAGAAUGCCACGGUGAAUACGUUCCCGGGCCUUGUACACACCGCCCGUCACACCAUGGGAGUGGGUGCAAAAGAA
This 778-nucleotide ribosomal RNA is filed under the name Escherichia coli. Its description in RNAcentral is "bacterial SSU rRNA". It matches the Rfam family "Bacterial small subunit ribosomal RNA", at positions 647 to 1425 of the family's 1533-position model. The record is from RNAcentral. Lineage: Bacteria; Pseudomonadati; Pseudomonadota; Gammaproteobacteria; Enterobacterales; Enterobacteriaceae.